RNAcentral lists this transfer RNA (57 nucleotides) under Glyptelasma gigas. RNAcentral describes it as "tRNA-Ser". The record is from RNAcentral. Lineage: Eukaryota; Metazoa; Arthropoda; Thecostraca; Poecilasmatidae.
GAAAAUGAUAAAUAGAGGCUUCUAACCUUUUAUAUUGCAAUUAAUGUAACAUUUUUC